AGUUGCUGAGUAAUCAAGAACUCUGGAGCUUUACGUUUACGAAAGAAAUCUGACGGCCAAUUAUCAGUAUUGGAG
This 75-nucleotide transfer RNA is filed under the name Diaphanoeca grandis. Lineage: Eukaryota; Choanoflagellata; Acanthoecida; Stephanoecidae. The record is from RNAcentral.